CAGAAACUAUCUCCAGCGAAAGUUUCUGUCAGUAAGAAUAUGUUGAAUAGAAAUUGCUCCACAACAUAGAACAGAUUGGAGGAACAGGCUAUCUUUUAGGACCUUUACAAAGCCAAGGAUGAGACGAAAGAAAAUUUGGGGACUACAUACACAAAUCAACCAAACAUGCUAAGUGGAGUGGAGCAUAUCAAGAKGGUGCUGGUUUGACUCUAGGGGAAGAAGUUGAGCAGUGCAAUGCAUUUCUCUCAAGGAUUGCUUAUCAAAAACUGGCUGGACAGACAUGCUGACUCUUUUGGCCAUGUGAUGGAAUCAGCAAUAACUGGACAACUUGGCCACCUCACUAACUCAUCAAUAUCAGAA
This is a non-coding RNA of Poecilia reticulata (guppy), 360 nucleotides long. NCBI's taxonomy places the organism in Eukaryota, Metazoa, Chordata, Actinopteri, Cyprinodontiformes, Poeciliidae. The record is from RefSeq and is a predicted model, not a curated record.